This 65-nucleotide transfer RNA is filed under the name Ampittia subvittatus. RNAcentral's name for it is "tRNA-Asp". The record is from RNAcentral. Lineage: Eukaryota; Metazoa; Arthropoda; Insecta; Lepidoptera; Hesperiidae.
AAAGAAUUAGUUAAAUAAUAACAUAAAUAUGUCAAAUUUAAAUUAAUAAAACUUAUUAUUCUUUU